This 282-nucleotide long non-coding RNA is filed under the name Linum usitatissimum (flax). RNAcentral's name for it is "long non-coding RNA (LUSI_LNC000806)". Lineage: Eukaryota; Viridiplantae; Streptophyta; Magnoliopsida; Malpighiales; Linaceae. The record is from RNAcentral.
CGAACCUUUUAAGGAUUCAAGGUAAUAGUCAGACUCAGAAUGCUUCGAUGCAAAAGAAUCUUUCAAGUCCACAAGAACGCUAAAUCUAGGAACGAAAGUGACGUAAAUGGAUGAAAAUUGGAGAUGAGAGAUGGAAAAACGGACCUGUAAUUGUAAACCCGCACAAAAGAAGUUUCUGACACUUGAAGAGUUCUGUGUCAGAAAUUGUAACCCACCAGAAGAGGGCAAACAGGAAUUCGUAACCCGCCAGAGUCUCCGGUCAGCACGAUCUUGAACAGGUUA